This 632-nucleotide small RNA is filed under the name uncultured fungus. RNAcentral describes it as "eukaryotic LSU rRNA". The stretch from base 213 to 367 matches the Rfam family "5.8S ribosomal RNA". Lineage: Eukaryota; Fungi. The record is from RNAcentral.
GGAAGGAUCAUUACAGAAUUGUCAACGGGUUGUUGCUGGUCCUCGAACGGGGACAUGUGCACGCUCUGUUUACACAUCCACUCACACCUGUGCACCCUCCGUAGUUCUGUGGUCUGGGGGACCCCUGUCUUCCUGCCGUGGUUCUAUGUCUUUACACACACACUGUAAUAAAGUAUUAUGGAAUGCAUGCCGCGUCUAACGCAAUACAAUACAACUUUCAGCAACGGAUCUCUUGGCUCUCGCAUCGAUGAAGAACGCAGCGAAAUGCGAUAAGUAAUGUGAAUUGCAGAAUUCAGUGAAUCAUCGAAUCUUUGAACGCACCUUGCGCCCCUUGGCUAUUCCGAGGGGCAUGCCUGUUUGAGUAUCAUGAACACCUCAACUCUCACGGUUCGCCGUGAUGAGCUUGGACUCUGGGGGUUUUGCUGGCCUGCGGUCGGCUCCCCUCAAAUGAAUCAGCCUCCCAGUGUUUGGUGGCAUCACGGGUGUGAUAAAUAUCUACGCUCGCAGUUGUCCGCCAGGUAACCUUUGGUGACAAAGGUUCGCUGGAGCUCACAGAUGUCUCUCCUCAGCGAGGACAGCUUUUUGAACGUUCGAUCUCAAAUCAGGUAGGACUACCCGCUGAACUUAAGCAU